CUGACUGCUAUCGAUUGUACUAAGCCAUGUGAGUCAUUGUAGCAAUACAAGGCAUACGGCUCAGUAACACGUAGUCAAUCUGCCCUAUGGACGUGGAUAACCUCGGGAAACUGAGAAUAAUCCGCGAUAGAUUAUAAUGCCUGGAACGGUUUAUGGUCCAAAUGAUUCGUCGCCAUAGGAUGGGACUGCGGCCUAUCAGCUUGUUGGUGAGGUAAUGGCCCACCAAGGCUAUUACAGGUACGGGCUCUGAGAGGAGAAGCCCGGAGAUGGGUACUGAGACACGGACCCAGGCCCUAUGGAGCGCAGCAGGCGAGAAACCUUUGCAAUGUGCGCAAGCACGACAAGGUUAAUCCGAGUGUUUCCUGCUAAAGGAAUCUUUUGUUAGUUCUAAAACCACUGAUGAAUAAGGGGUGGGCAAGUUCUGGUGUCAGCCGCCGCGGUAAAACCAGCACCUCAAGUGGUCAGGAGGAUUAUUGGGCCUAAAGCAUCCGUAGCCGGUUCUGUAAGUUUCCGGUUAAAUCCACUAGCUCAACUAAUGGGCUGCCGGAAAUACUGCAGAACUAGGGAGUGGGAGAGGUAGACGGUACUCGGGAGGAAGGGGUAAAAUCCUUUGAUCUCUUGAUGACCACCUGUGGCGAAGGCGGUCUACCAGAACACGUUCGACGGUGAGGGAUGAAAGCUGGGGGAGCAAACCGGAUUAGAUACCCGGGUAGUCCCAGCUGUAAACGAUGCAGACUCGGUGAUGCACUGGCUUUUGGCCAGUGCAGUGCCGCAGGGAAGCCGUUAAGUUUGCCGCCUGGGAAGUACGUACGCAAGUAUGAAACUUAAAGGAAUUGGCGGGGGAGCACCACAAGGGGUGAAGCCUGCGGUUCAAUUGGAGUCAACGCCGGAAA
RNAcentral lists this ribosomal RNA (893 nucleotides) under uncultured archaeon. RNAcentral's name for it is "bacterial SSU rRNA". It matches the Rfam family "Archaeal small subunit ribosomal RNA", at positions 23 to 924 of the family's 1478-position model. The record is from RNAcentral.